GGACGAACGCUGGCGGCGUGCCUAAUACAUGCAAGUCGAACGAGCUCUCCCAAAUUGAUUUUAUGCUUGCAUAAAUGAUUUUUGGAUUCGGAGCGAGUGGCGAACUGGUGAGUAACACGUGGGUAACCUGCCCCGAAGCGGGGGAUAACAUUUGGAAACAAGUGCUAAUACCGCAUAAUUAGUUGGAACCGCAUGGUUCCAACUUGAAAGAUGGCUCUGCUAUCACUUUGGGAUGGACCCGCGCCGUAUUAGUUAGUUGGUGAGAUAAAAGCCCACCAAGACGAUGAUACGUAGCCGACCUGAGAGGGUAAUCGGCCACAUUGGGACUGAGACACGGCCCAGACUCCUACGGGAGGCAGCAGUAGGGAAUCUUCCACAAUGGACGAAAGUCUGAUGGAGCAACGCCGCGUGAGUGAUGAAGGUUUUCGGAUCGUAAAACUCUGUUGUUAAAGAAGAACAAGUGUUAGAGUAACUGUUAACACUUUGACGGUAUUUAACCAGAAAGCCACGGCUAACUACGUGCCAGCAGCCGCGGUAAUACGUAGGUGGCAAGCGUUGUCCGGAUUUAUUGGGCGUAAAGCGAGCGCAGGCGGUUUUGUAAGUCUGCUGUGAAAGCCCUCAGCUCAACUGAGGAAGUGCAGUGGAAACUACAAAACUUGAGUACAGAAGAGGAAAGUGGAACUCCAUGUGUAGCGGUGAAAUGCGUAGAUAUAUGGAAGAACACCAGUGGCGAAAGGCGGCUUUCUGGUCUGUUACUGACGCUGAGGCUCGAAAGCAUGGGUAGCGAACAGGAUUAGAUACCCUGGUAGUCCAUGCCGUAAACGAUGAAUACUAGGUGUUGGAGGGUUUCCGCCCUUCAGUGCCGCAGCUAACGCAUUAAGUAUUCCGCCUGGGGAGUACGACCGCAAGGUUGAAACUCAAAGGAAUUGACGGGGGCCCGCACAAGUGGUGGAGCAUGUGGUUUAAUUCGAUGCUACGCGAAGAACCUUACCAGCUCUUGACAUCUUCUGCCAACCCAAGAGAUUGGGCGUUCCCUUCGGGGACAGAAUGACAGGUGGUGCAUGGUUGUCGUCAGCUCGUGUCGUGAGAUGUUGGGUUAAGUCCCGCAACGAGCGCAACCCUUAUUAUUAGUUGCCAGCAUUUAGUUGGGCACUCUAGUGAGACUGCCGGUGAUAAACCGGAGGAAGGUGGGGACGACGUCAAAUCAUCAUGCCCCUUAUGAGCUGGGCUACACACGUGCUACAAUGGAUGGUACAACGAGUCGCGAAACCGCGAGGUCAAGCUAAUCUCUUAAAGCCAUUCUCAGUUCGGAUUGCAGGCUGCAACUCGCCUGCAUGAAGUUGGAAUCACUAGUAAUCGUGGAUCAGCAUGCCACGGUGAAUACGUUCCCGGGCCUGUACACACCG
RNAcentral lists this ribosomal RNA (1406 nucleotides) under uncultured Bacilli bacterium. RNAcentral describes it as "bacterial SSU rRNA". It matches the Rfam family "Bacterial small subunit ribosomal RNA", at positions 27 to 1392 of the family's 1533-position model. Lineage: Bacteria; Bacillati; Bacillota; Bacilli. The record is from RNAcentral.